AAUCGCGGUGCGACGGAGUAGCUUGUGGGAGAUUGUUGGGUAUUUGACUAGCCCUUUCUCUGCCUGCUUGUGUGAGCUUCAGCAGAAUUUGAAAUGGCUGGCGGUAAGGCUGGGAAAGACUCCGGAAAGGCCAAGACAAAGGCGGUUUCCCGCUCGCAGAGAGCUGGCUUGCAGUUCCCAGUGGGCCAUAUUCAUCGACACCCGAAAUCUAGGAUGACUAGCCAUGGGCGUGUGGGCGCGACCGACUGCCGCUGAGUACAGCGCAGCCAUCCUGGAGUACCUCACCGCAGAGGUACUUGAAUUGGCAGGAAAUGCAUCAAAAGACUUAAAGGUGAAACGUAUAACACCUCGUCACUUGCAACUUGCUAUUCGAGGAGAUAAAGAAUUGAACUCUCUUAUCAAGGCGACAAUUGCUGGCGGUGGUGUCAUUCCGCAUAUCCACAAAUCUCUGAUUGGGAAGAAAGGACAACAGAAGACUGUCUAA
Molecule: RNA transcript, 484 nt
Organism: Elephantulus edwardii (Cape elephant shrew)
Lineage: Eukaryota; Metazoa; Chordata; Mammalia; Macroscelidea; Macroscelididae
Gene name: histone H2A.Z-like
Exons: 1
Source: RefSeq, a predicted model, not a curated record